Small nucleolar RNA from Lathyrus oleraceus (garden pea), 109 nucleotides. The record is from RefSeq and is a predicted model, not a curated record. Lineage: Eukaryota; Viridiplantae; Streptophyta; Magnoliopsida; Fabales; Fabaceae.
AAGCCCAUGAAAAAGGCAUAACCUCAAGAGGUCCUUAAAAUGCUCCCAAGCUGCAAAAAAAGAUUCUCCCUCUUCUUUCCUAAAAUGAUUUAUCUCACUUCUCAUGUGU